GACGAACGCUGGCGGCGUGCUUAACACAUGCAAGUCGAACGGAAAGGCCCUGCUUUUGUGGGGUGCUCGAGUGGCGAACGGGUGAGUAACACGUGAGUAACCUGCCCUUGACUUUGGGAUAACUUCAGGAAACUGGGGCUAAUACCGGAUAGGAGCUCCUGCUGCAUGGUGGGGGUUGGAAAGUUUCGGCGGUUGGGGAUGGACUCGCGGCUUAUCAGCUUGUUGGUGGGGUAGUGGCUUACCAAGGCUUUGACGGGUAGCCGGCCUGAGAGGGUGACCGGCCACAUUGGGACUGAGAUACGGCCCAGACUCCUACGGGAGGCAGCAGUGGGGAAUAUUGCACAAUGGGCGGAAGCCUGAUGCAGCAACGCCGCGUGCGGGAUGACGGCCUUCGGGCUGUAAACCGCUUUCGCCUGUGACGAAGCGUGAGUGACGGUAAUGGGCAAAGAAGCACCGGCUAACUACGUG
This 468-nucleotide ribosomal RNA is filed under the name uncultured bacterium. Its description in RNAcentral is "partial 16S ribosomal RNA". It matches the Rfam family "Bacterial small subunit ribosomal RNA", at positions 28 to 507 of the family's 1533-position model. The record is from RNAcentral.